GAGCCGUCCAGGGGCACAAGCACGGCUGCAAAAAUAAUUGGACAGGAAGACCUUGAAAAGUGCUGCCCGACUGCAAGAAGAGAGGCUGGCCAAGAUUAAGGCUAAAUUGCAAGAGCUGUCCUUUGAAGAAAGGGGAGCGAUGCUGGAGCUGGCUGCUUCCCAUCUACUUGGAGUGAUUUUUGACAUCAUGGAGUACCGUACAGCUAUCCCAGGGUCUCCUGACAACCUCGCUGAUGCAACUGCAUUAAUUGUAGGGAGACUCCUACACCUUACAACACACAACUGCUGCCAUUUCACCAAUGCAAUAUUCAAUUUCUAAAUUACCAAGUAUAUUUACAUAACAGGUUAACACUUUCCACGACUACACUGAACUUUAUUCUUAAUUUGGAUCCCAAUUAGGAAAAAUACUCCAUUUGGUGAUAUCUUUGCAAGUCCUUUUUUUGUGAAUUUGUCCUUGGUCUGGGUGAUAUCAGUUCAGUACUUUAUCAGAAUGUUUCCCUUACACUGUGCUUUUGUUAUUUUGAGGAAUGUUACAGAUACUACCUUGUAUUCAUGUUUAUCUCUCUAAUAAAACUAUUUGACCUGA
Molecule: long non-coding RNA, 586 nt
Organism: Coregonus clupeaformis (lake whitefish)
Lineage: Eukaryota; Metazoa; Chordata; Actinopteri; Salmoniformes; Salmonidae
Exons: 2
Source: RefSeq, a predicted model, not a curated record